CCAGUAGCGUAUAUUAAAGUUGUUGCAGUUAAAAAGCUCGUAGUUGAAUUUCGGGAUCAAAGAAUCGGUCAUGCCUUGGUAUGUACUGGUUUUAUUGGUUCUCACCUUCUAAAGAACCAUGAUGUCAUUCAUUUGAUGUUAUGGGGAAUUAGGACUGUUACCUUGAAAAAAUUAGAGUGUUUAAAGCAAGCUUACGCUUGAAUACAUUAGCAUGGAAUAAUGAAAUAGGACAUCAGAUUCUAUUUUGUUGGUUUCUAGGAUCGAUGUAAUGAUUAAUAGGGAUAGUUGGGGGCAUUAGUAUUCAAUUGUCAGAGGUGAAAUUCUUGGAUUUAUUGAAGACUAACUACUGCGAAAGCAUUUGCCAAGGAUGUUUUCAUUAAUCAAGAACGAAAGUUAGGGGAUCGAAGACGAUCAGAUACCGUCGUAGUCUUAACCAUAAACUAUGCCGACUAGGGAUCGGAUGAUGUUAAUUUUUUAAUGACUCAUUCGGCACCUUACG
RNAcentral lists this ribosomal RNA (499 nucleotides) under uncultured Glomeromycotina. RNAcentral's name for it is "partial small subunit ribosomal RNA". It matches the Rfam family "Eukaryotic small subunit ribosomal RNA", at positions 591 to 1092 of the family's 1831-position model. The record is from RNAcentral. Lineage: Eukaryota; Fungi; Glomeromycota.